Molecule: ribosomal RNA, 253 nt
Filed under: uncultured bacterium
Lineage: Bacteria
Description: partial 16S ribosomal RNA
Rfam family: Bacterial small subunit ribosomal RNA
Source: RNAcentral
UACGUAGGGUGCAAGCGUUGUCCGGAAUUAUUGGGCGUAAAGAGCUCGUAGGCGGUCUGUCACGUCUGCUGUGAAAACUCGGGGCUUAACCCCGGGCCUGCAGUGGGUACGGGCAGACUAGAGUGCGGUAGGGGAGACUGGAAUUCCUGGUGUAGCGGUGAAAUGCGCAGAUAUCAGGAGGAACACCGGUGGCGAAGGCGGGUCUCUGGGCCGUAACUGACGCUGAGACGCGAAAGCGUGGGGAGCAAACAGG